GUGUUAUAUGUAAAAAGAGGAGUUUAGAACAUCCCUUGACAAAGAUGGAAGAAGCCCUUUACAACAUGCUUAUUGUUAUCUUCUCUUACAAAAAUGUGCAAUAUGGAAGUGUGUUUU
Small nuclear RNA from Monodelphis domestica (gray short-tailed opossum), 117 nucleotides. NCBI's taxonomy places the organism in Eukaryota, Metazoa, Chordata, Mammalia, Didelphimorphia, Didelphidae. The record is from Ensembl.